GUGCUCGCCCCAGCAGCACAUAUAUUAAAGUUGGAAUGAUACAGAGAAGACUGGCCUUUUCCCUGUACAAGGAUGACACACAAAUCUGUGAAGCAUUCUAUAUUUUU
Perognathus longimembris pacificus (Pacific pocket mouse) is the source of this 107-nucleotide small nuclear RNA. The record is from RefSeq and is a predicted model, not a curated record. Lineage: Eukaryota; Metazoa; Chordata; Mammalia; Rodentia; Heteromyidae.